Long non-coding RNA from Neltuma alba, 94 nucleotides. RefSeq lists it as uncharacterized. The record is from RefSeq and is a predicted model, not a curated record. NCBI's taxonomy places the organism in Eukaryota, Viridiplantae, Streptophyta, Magnoliopsida, Fabales, Fabaceae. The transcript has 3 exons.
CUCUGGCUUUCUUGGUGGAAGAUGGAUCUCCAAAUUCUUUGUCAUCAUGUUUGCUAUCAAAGUCUUUUCCUUUGCCCUUGAAGAUUUGAAUUCC